UACAAAAGACAACCGACGGCAUGCUUGUCUCUCUCUCCAAUUCCAUUGGCAAGGUACAAAACUUAAAGUUCAAAAAAAAAAAAAAAAAGGUACAAAACUUUAAUUUCAAUCCAAACCCAGAAGACAUCUGAUCACUUCAUCCAUGGAGAUCAUCUCAAACCCCAUAAAGCUUCUUCCUUUAUCAAUCAUCACUAUUCUGUUCAUUAUCAUCUUCCUCUGUUUUUUUCCUGCCAUGGUUGCUAAUGAAACCUAAGAUGCCUAAGAGGAAUCCAGACCUCUCUCACCAACCCUCAGGAAGUUCUAAAAUCAUGAAACUUCGGUUCCUCUGAAACUUCGUCGUCGCGUCAUCAAUCUCGAGCUUCGAGACAUGGGUUUUAUCUGGUCGGAUCCCAGAGUCUCUUCAGUACUGUGAUAGCUUACAGAAGCUCGAUCCAUCUAGCAAUCGAUUGUCUGCUGAGUGUAUAGGCUCGUGAACUCUUUGGUUCUGUCUGAGAAUCGGUUAUUGCAGCUGGUGUGUUUGGUGUUUGGUGGUAUUACCAUACGAGAAAGAGAAGUAGUUAAAACGAAGGAGUUAGUAGCUUAGCGCAGAGACUUAGAAGCCAUAUGCGAGCACAAGUCUCUGUGUUUCAGAAGCCUUUGGUUAAGGUUAAGCUUGGGGACUCGAUGACCGCAACUAAUGGUUUCAGCUCUGAGAACAUUAUCGUUACAAAUAGAACAUGAACAAGGUAUACGGCGGUUCUUCCUGAUGGCACAGCACUUGAGUGAGUGUAAGCUUUGGGAGAAGGAGUUUCGGUAUGAGAUGAAUCAGUUGUGGGAGCUGCAUCACCUAAGUUAGCGCCACUUCUUGGUGACUGCGUUGUGGAAGAAGAGAAGCUUCUUGUUUAGUAUUUUAAGCUUUUACACGUAAUUAAAAUCUUGUAAUAUAAUUCAUGUAAUAUUAUGAGUAACAAGUUGAUUACUGUGGAAAAAAAAAAUGCAUUGAUAGAAAGACUCGCAGCAAAUCACCUGAAUAAAUCCGAACUGUUUUUUUUUUCAUCAA
Molecule: long non-coding RNA, 1039 nt
Organism: Brassica napus (rape)
Lineage: Eukaryota; Viridiplantae; Streptophyta; Magnoliopsida; Brassicales; Brassicaceae
Exons: 2
Source: RefSeq, a predicted model, not a curated record